This 595-nucleotide ribosomal RNA is filed under the name Aspergillus terreus. RNAcentral describes it as "LSU rRNA". It matches the Rfam family "Eukaryotic large subunit ribosomal RNA", at positions 64 to 677 of the family's 3401-position model. Lineage: Eukaryota; Fungi; Ascomycota; Eurotiomycetes; Eurotiales; Aspergillaceae. The record is from RNAcentral.
ACCCCGGGCAUGCCUCAGUACGGCGAGUGAGCGGCAAGAGCUCAAAUUUGAAAGCUGGCUCCUUCGGGGUCCGCAUUGUAAUUUGCAGAGGAUGCUUCGGGUGCAGCCCCCGUCUAAGUGCCCUGGAACGGGCCGUCAUAGAGGGUGAGAAUCCCGUAUGGGGCGGGGUGUCUGCGUCCGUGUGAAGCUCCUUCGACGAGUCGAGUUGUUUGGGAAUGCAGCUCUAAAUGGGUGGUAAAUUUCAUCUAAAGCUAAAUACUGGCCGGAGACCGAUAGCGCACAAGUAGAGUGAUCGAAAGAUGAAAAGCACUUUGAAAAGAGAGUUAAACAGCACGUGAAAUUGUUGAAAGGGAAGCGCUUGCAACCAGACUCGCUCGCGGGGUUCAGCCGGGCUUCGGCCCGGUGUACUUCCCCGCGGGCGGGCCAGCGUCGGUUUGGGCGGCCGGUCAAAGGCCUCCGGAAUGUAGCGCCCUUCGGGGCGCCUUAUAGCCGGGGGUGCAAUGCGGCCAGCCUGGACCGAGGAACGCGCUUCGGCACGGACGCUGGCAUAAUGGUUGUAAACGACCCGUCUUGAACAACCGGACCAAAAGGGCCG